RNAcentral lists this transfer RNA (601 nucleotides) under uncultured Prochlorococcus sp. RNAcentral's name for it is "partial 16S-23S ribosomal RNA intergenic spacer". The stretch from base 215 to 287 matches the Rfam family "tRNA". The record is from RNAcentral. Lineage: Bacteria; Bacillati; Cyanobacteriota; Cyanophyceae; Synechococcales; Prochlorococcaceae.
UUUUGAUGCCUGAAUUAUUUAUAUCAGCCAGAAUCCUGUCACCUUAGGUCGAUCGUACCUCAGUUUGAUAUUUGAAAACUAUCAAAUUCAGUUCCUAAACUUGUCUAGGUCACACCCAACAAGGGUACUCCUGGGCAUUAGCUCAGGUGGUUAGAGCGCACCCCUGAUAAGGGUGAGGUCCCUGGUUCAAGUCCAGGAUGGCCCAUUCGGUGUUGGGGGUAUAGCUCAGUUGGUAGAGCGCCUGCUUUGCAAGCAGGAUGUCAGCGGUUCGAGUCCGCUUACCUCCACUGAACCACCUACUAAUGACGAAGCUACAGGAGAGCUUAUGUUUGUGUGACUUAGAAAUUGUUCUAAUGAAAGAACCUAGCUUCUUAUCAUUCUUAGUAAUAAGUUUAUUUUGAUUGAUAAGACGCUGGGCUCUCUGCAGAAAUUGCAGAAAGUUCAGUAGAACCUUGACAACUGCAUAGUAUAAGUCUGGAAUUAAUUUAAAGCAUCUCAUGGAUGCAUUAUUUUUUAGGUUGAAUUGGAAUUAAUAAAUUCUCAUUGAUUCCAUUUGGUUUAAAUUAUAAUGUGAGUUAUGAGCAAGAUAUAGGCUCUAUGA